AACCAUAGAAACCUGCGGAGUACCUGCGGAGGGAUCAUUAAUGAAAUUCUUUUUUGUUGCUUUGUUCUGAUCCUCCCAUUCUGGGGGGGGUCCAAAUGAGGCAUCAGAAAACCCCACCGCCCUGUGGAACUGUGGGAGUGCUUCGGCCCUUUUGGGCCGCAUUUAUGCUGAAAGCAAUUGUUGUCUGAACCUUUGAAAAAUUGAAAACUUUCAGCAAUGGAUCUCAGAUCGGAAGAGCAC
Molecule: unclassified non-coding RNA, 240 nt
Filed under: soil metagenome
Description: partial contains 5.8S ribosomal RNA, internal transcribed spacer 2, and large subunit ribosomal RNA
Source: RNAcentral